Molecule: ribosomal RNA, 720 nt
Filed under: Bacillus thuringiensis
Lineage: Bacteria; Bacillati; Bacillota; Bacilli; Caryophanales; Bacillaceae
Description: bacterial SSU rRNA
Rfam family: Bacterial small subunit ribosomal RNA
Source: RNAcentral
UCGAGCGAAUGGAUUAAGAGCUUGCUCUUAUGAAGUUAGCGGCGGACGGGUGAGUAACACGUGGGUAACCUGCCCAUAAGACUGGGAUAACUCCGGGAAACCGGGGCUAAUACCGGAUAACAUUUUGAACUGCAUGGUUCGAAAUUGAAAGGCGGCUUCGGCUGUCACUUAUGGAUGGACCCGCGUCGCAUUAGCUAGUUGGUGAGGUAACGGCUCACCAAGGCAACGAUGCGUAGCCGACCUGAGAGGGUGAUCGGCCACACUGGGACUGAGACACGGCCCAGACUCCUACGGGAGGCAGCAGUAGGGAAUCUUCCGCAAUGGACGAAAGUCUGACGGAGCAACGCCGCGUGAGUGAUGAAGGCUUUCGGGUCGUAAAACUCUGUUGUUAGGGAAGAACAAGUGCUAGUUGAAUAAGCUGGCACCUUGACGGUACCUAACCAGAAAGCCACGGCUAACUACGUGCCAGCAGCCGCGGUAAUACGUAGGUGGCAAGCGUUAUCCGGAAUUAUUGGGCGUAAAGCGCGCGCAGGUGGUUUCUUAAGUCUGAUGUGAAAGCCCACGGCUCAACCGUGGAGGGUCAUUGGAAACUGGGAGACUUGAGUGCAGAAGAGGAAAGUGGAAUUCCAUGUGUAGCGGUGAAAUGCGUAGAGAUAUGGAGGAACACCAGUGGCGAAGGCGACUUUCUGGUCUGUAACUGACACUGAGGCGCGAAAGCGU